Varroa destructor (honeybee mite) is the source of this 1742-nucleotide long non-coding RNA. The record is from RefSeq and is a predicted model, not a curated record. Lineage: Eukaryota; Metazoa; Arthropoda; Arachnida; Mesostigmata; Varroidae.
CAGCGAACUAUCUCGUAGGCGAAUAUGUCCGUGCACUACGCAGACCCGCUGAGUCCGUCAACGAUCAUUGAAGUUCAGUGACAACGACUUCUUAACGUUAUCAAGCUGUUCGAUUACUCAUACUGAAAUGGAUUCCCGAAUGAUUUCCACUGCUCAUUGCGGUGCCUCGAAAACAGUCAAAUAGGCCGAGGUUGAGGGCGGCCACGGUACGAAAAGCUCGUUUUCCUCAAUUCUACAGCUGUACGACGUCGCAUAUGCACCCUGAUUUUACUGGAGUUAUUAUUAGCGUGGCAAAUUGUGUGCGUGAUGCCUCAUAAAUACUACGCCUGCAGUGAACUCGAAAGCGGAGCCCGCUUUUUUCGACUUCAGGUAGAUUGAGCUGCCAAAGCCGAAACGCUGAAUUCUUACCCUGCUUCUGUCCGUAAGAUCGCCCGCUAUCGCAGAUAUAUAUACGCAAAACAAGGUUAUCAUAUUCGAAGUAAGUGAUUGCCCCAUGAUAAGCUGGAAAAAAGUCCCGCUGACUGACUGAUUUGUCGCUCAUCGGUUAAGUUCUUUGUCGCAAUGACUGCAAGUAGGAGUUAAACACUAACAGAUGUGACAGUUAUAUAUUUCUAAUGCAAAACCAAACGUUUGUACAAAACUGGUUGUUAUUUGCUGUUGAGCCGUCACUUGCGACGUUUAGGUAAAACACUAGCAGAAAAUCUCAGCGUAAACUGUGUAACCUAUCGGGAAGAGGAAUGCAUUUUUCAAUUGUAUCUUGUAAUAAGCUAGAAAUUGUAUGCCGAUAAAUUCGUUGAGAGGGCGAAAGGCGUGAUGUGGCGCUUUUAGCAGUAUUUAAACGUCCCUUUUUGCUCAGGCGUCGGAUUAGACCACAUUAUUGCCAGUUGUUAUUGAAAACGAAUCUGGCUCGUUUCAACAACGAAGUGGGCUUUCUCAUUAAGCAGUUUUCCCUGCCAACAUGAUACGAUGAACCAGAAAGGGCAGUAGUGUGGCCUUGUAGUGUUCUUAGUGUUCCUCUCCUGUAAAGUGCUGCGCAAAUUAAAGCAAGGUUGUUAUGUAAAUCUUCAUUCACGACCGCUGUAGCUGCUUCAGCUGGACCCUACUUCGAAAUAUUGAAGGCGUAAAUCGUGCCGAUGCGCGAGCACGUUGAGUGACACCCUAUGUUUUUCCAUUCAAAGUGCGAGCUGAAGUGAGAACUUAAAGAUAUGUUUGGUGACAGCUUUUGACAAUGUGCGACUAUAAGAAUGAAACGUAUAAGCAGGUUUUAACAGUUUAUGGCUGUCUAUUUCAGACAUCACAAAGGCCUGUGAUGUUAUUAAUGCAGAAAACGAUUAUGCAAUAUACUUCAAGCCUUAAGGACACGGGGGCUAACGUUGAAAUGCAUGAAAAUACAUACAGUCACCAGUAAUCAUUGCUGAAUUGAUGAUCCCGAAGAUGUGACGAUCGAGCGCUAAAAUUUGGCGAUCUGUUAAUGAACUAGAUGACCGCUACGGACAACACGACAUCAAAAUUCGGCAACGUGAACGUCUAUCUCGUUUUAUACGUUCUGCUAACGUUGCCUAAAUUGAAUCGAAUGAUUGAUCAAUCUAUGAAUUAUAUUACCACAGUAUAUGAAGCCCAAAUUUAACUCAAAUCGACUACAAAAACCAGCGUAUGAUCCAACAAACCUCGACACCCAUCUGUUAUGGAGCUCAGACCACAAAUAAAUAGUGCAUGCGUUUAAUGCACCUGGAGGCAGGCCA